Molecule: ribosomal RNA, 772 nt
Filed under: uncultured bacterium
Lineage: Bacteria
Description: bacterial SSU rRNA
Rfam family: Bacterial small subunit ribosomal RNA
Source: RNAcentral
GACGAACGCUGGCGGCGCGCCUAACACAUGCAAGUCGAACGGAGUUAUUUCGGUUGAAGUUUUCGGACGGAUUUCGGUUUAACUUAGUGGCGAACGGGUGAGUAACGCGUGAGUAACCUGCCCUGGAGUGGGGGACAACAGUUGGAAACGACUGCUAAUACCGCAUAAGCCCACGGCCCGGCAUCGGGCUGAGGGAAAAGGAUUUAUUCGCUUCAGGAUGGACUCGCGUCCAAUUAGCUAGUUGGUGAGGUAACGGCCCACCAAGGCGACGAUUGGUAGCCGGACUGAGAGGUUGAACGGCCACAUUGGGACUGAGACACGGCCCAGACUCCUACGGGAGGCAGCAGUGGGGGAUAUUGCACAAUGGGGGAAACCCUGAUGCAGCGACGCCGCGUGGAGGAAGAAGGUUUUCGGAUUGUAAACUCCUGUCGUUAGGGACGAAUUCUGACGGUACCUAACAAGAAAGCACCGGCUAACUACGUGCCAGCAGCCGCGGUAAAACGUAGGGUGCAAGCGUUGUCCGGAAUUACUGGGUGUAAAGGGAGCGCAGGCGGACCGGCAAGUUGGAAGUGAAAUCUAUGGGCUCAACCCAUAAAUUGCUUUCAAAACUGCUGGCCUUGAGUAGUGCAGAGGUAGGUGGAAUUCCCGGUGUAGCGGUGGAAUGCGUAGAUAUCGGGAGGAACACCAGUGGCGAAGGCGACCUACUGGGCACCAACUGACGCUGAGGCUCGAAAGCAUGGGUAGCAAACAGGAUUAGAUACCCUGGUAGUCC